Long non-coding RNA from Zea mays, 904 nucleotides. RefSeq lists it as uncharacterized. NCBI's taxonomy places the organism in Eukaryota, Viridiplantae, Streptophyta, Magnoliopsida, Poales, Poaceae. The transcript has 2 exons. The record is from RefSeq and is a predicted model, not a curated record.
CGGACUGAGAUUCGUCCAAAAAAGACUAUUUUCGGGAAACAACCCUGGCCUUGGGAGGCCAGGCGAUUCUCCCGGUCGUCCUCAUCCCAUCUCCAUCGAACUCCAUCCCCACGCACGCCUCCUUGGACACCAUCCCCGCGAGGUCCAUCCCCACACACGUCUCCUCCACCGCCAUCUCCGCGAGCACCUCCGCCUCCUUCCCGCAUGCUCCUUUUGAUCUCGACAAGGUUUGCGCGGGGUAGGCAAAACCGCCUAGCACCAGUCGAGCCCUCCCCCCUCCUCCUGCGAGUCGCGGCAACCCACGAGCGUGUCUAUCCAUCGACUUUCUGUCAGAAAAGGCCACUCGCGGUUUGUCGUGCACGCCGCGUCCAGGUUGGAAUGGUUCGUUUCUUGGACUCGCGACUUCAGCCUUUGGUUACUCACUUACUCUCCUAGAUAUCAUAGUGCCGCCUGUGGAAUGGUCCGUUGCUGGUGCUACUUGCUCAUGGAGUUAUGGUGGUAGGCGUAGGCCACUUCGUCUGCCUCCUGGAUUUCUCACUGCUGCAUCGGCUCCGAAAGCAAAUUAGACAACUAUAGUUCUGUUAUGGUGAUUGUAGUACAGUUUCAGCUCUAACCUAUGGAAAAUUGAAUGGCAGUUGCACUAAUCUGUUGGUGGAAUGAUUUUCCCAGUAAUUUCCUGGGCAAGCAGAUGGCUGAGAACCAUCUACCUUAUGAGAAAUGAUGCCUUGUAUGGUUCAGUAUAGUUCUUGUAUUGCUUGUUUGAAUUAAUUCCUGUAUGGCAGUUGCACUAAACUGAAUGGCAGUUGCACUUUGAGAUAUUCUUCUAUUGCUGGUUUAAAACCAUGGUGACUGUUCUUGUAUGCAUUCUGUAUGAAUUCUUGUUUAAAACCUGGUUGCUUCUAUA